GAUGAACGCUGGCGGCGUGCCUAAUACAUGCAAGUCGAGCGAACGGACGAGAAGCUUGCUUCUCUGAUGUUAGCGGCGGACGGGUGAGUAACACGUGGAUAACCUACCUAUAAGACUGGGAUAACUUCGGGAAACCGGAGCUAAUACCGGAUAAUAUUUUGAACCGCAUGGUUCAAAAGUGAAAGACGGUCUUGCUGUCACUUAUAGAUGGAUCCGCGCUGCAUUAGCUAGUUGGUAAGGUAACGGCUUACCAAGGCAACGAUGCAUAGCCGACCUGAGAGGGUGAUCGGCCACACUGGAACUGAGGCACGGUCCAGACUCCUACGGGAGGCAGCAGUAGGGAAUCUUCCGCAAUGGGCGAAAGCCUGACGGAGCAACGCCGCGUGAGUGAUGAAGGUCUUCGGAUCGUAAAGCUCUGUUAUUAGGGAAGAACAUAUGUGUAAGUAACUGUGCACAUCUUGACGGUACCUAAUCAGAAAGCCACGGCUAACUACGUG
RNAcentral lists this ribosomal RNA (497 nucleotides) under uncultured bacterium. RNAcentral's name for it is "partial 16S ribosomal RNA". It matches the Rfam family "Bacterial small subunit ribosomal RNA", at positions 28 to 507 of the family's 1533-position model. The record is from RNAcentral.